UCGAGCGAAUGGAUUAAGAGCUUGCUCUUAUGAAGUUAGCGGCGGACGGGUGAGUAACACGUGGGUAACCUGCCCAUAAGACUGGGAUAACUCCGGGAAACCGGGGCUAAUACCGGAUAACAUUUUGAACCGCAUGGUUCGAAAUUGAAAGGCGGCUUCGGCUGUCACUUAUGGAUGGACCCGCGUCGCAUUAGCUAGUUGGUGAGGUAACGGCUCACCAAGGCAACGAUGCGUAGCCGACCUGAGAGGGUGAUCGGCCACACUGGGACUGAGACACGGCCCAGACUCCUACGGGAGGCAGCAGUAGGGAAUCUUCCGCAAUGGACGAAAGUCUGACGGAGCAACGCCGCGUGAGUGAUGAAGGCUUUCGGGUCGUAAAACUCUGUUGUUAGGGAAGAACAAGUGCUAGUUGAAUAAGCUGGCACCUUGACGGUACCUAACCAGAAAGCCACGGCUAACUACGUGCCAGCAGCCGCGGUAAUACGUAGGUGGCAAGCGUUAUCCGGAAUUAUUGGGCGUAAAGCGCGCGCAGGUGGUUUCUUAAGUCUGAUGUGAAAGCCCACGGCUCAACCGUGGAGGGUCAUUGGAAACUGGGAGACUUGAGUGCAGAAGAGGAAAGUGGAAUUCCAUGUGUAGCGGUGAAAUGCGUAGAGAUAUGGAGGAACACCAGUGGCGAAAGCGACUUUCUGGUCUGUAACUGACACUGAGGCGCGAAAGCGUGGGGAGCAAACAGGAUUAGAUACCC
Molecule: ribosomal RNA, 745 nt
Filed under: uncultured Bacillus sp.
Lineage: Bacteria; Bacillati; Bacillota; Bacilli; Caryophanales; Bacillaceae
Description: bacterial SSU rRNA
Rfam family: Bacterial small subunit ribosomal RNA
Source: RNAcentral